GGGGAGGUGCCAGAGAGGCCGAUUGGGCUCGCCUGCUAAGUGAGUGCGGGGGCUAAAACCUCCGCCGCGGGUUCGAAUCCCGCCCUCCCCGCCU
Molecule: transfer RNA, 94 nt
Filed under: Chloroflexi bacterium RBG_19FT_COMBO_47_9
Lineage: Bacteria; Bacillati; Chloroflexota
Also listed under: 1 other name
Description: tRNA-Ser
Rfam family: tRNA
About the family: Transfer RNA (tRNA) molecules are approximately 80 nucleotides in length. Their secondary structure includes four short double-helical elements and three loops (D, anti-codon, and T loops). Further hydrogen bonds mediate the characteristic L-shaped molecular structure. tRNAs have two regions of fundamental functional importance: the anti-codon, which is responsible for specific mRNA codon recognition, and the 3' end, to which the tRNAs corresponding amino acid is attached (by aminoacyl-tRNA synthetases). tRNAs cope with the degeneracy of the genetic code in two manners: having more than one tRNA (with a specific anti-codon) for a particular amino acid; and 'wobble' base-pairing, i.e. permitting non-standard base-pairing at the 3rd anti-codon position.
Source: RNAcentral